RNAcentral lists this ribosomal RNA (588 nucleotides) under Tmarus manojkaushalyai. RNAcentral's name for it is "partial 28S ribosomal RNA". The stretch from base 364 to 588 matches the Rfam family "Eukaryotic large subunit ribosomal RNA", at positions 665 to 854 of the family's 3401-position model. Lineage: Eukaryota; Metazoa; Arthropoda; Arachnida; Araneae; Thomisidae. The record is from RNAcentral.
CGCGUGAGGAUCUCCGCGCCGCCAGACGCAUUUGUCUCUCGUCCGAAAGGACGCCGCAGCCGGUCGGGCAGCGCAAGCGCGACGGCCUGAGGGGCGGAAGGUGGCAGGUGACCAGUGGCGCGCCCUGCGCUUCGCUGGUUGUUAGCCGUUCCGCCGGUGGCUCGUCGCCCGACCGAGGUGUGUGUCGCCUCCUCCGUUUGCGGAAGUCGUGACGGGGCGCGGCGAGCGAAGUCUGCCGGCCGUCGCACUCUCGACGAGUGGGCGAGUCGAGCAGAGGGCUCUGUCAGCCGCGACGGGCACGUCGGAGGUCGGAGGCUAGCGGCGAGUAGGUCGGUCACCCACCCGACCCGUCUUGAAACACGGACCAAGGAGUCUAACAUGUGCGCGAGUCGAUGGGUCUUGAACAGGCCCAGGGGCGCAAUGAAAGCAAAGGUCGACUCCCGUCGACCGAGUUGGGAUCCCCUUCCUCCGAAAGAGGGGAGGGGCGCACCAACGACCCGUCCCGUGCCGUUCGCGGCUGGGGCGGAGUCCGAGCGCACACGUUGGUACCCGAAAGAUGGUGAACUAUGCCCGGACAGGACGAGGCCA